RNAcentral lists this ribosomal RNA (301 nucleotides) under uncultured bacterium. RNAcentral's name for it is "partial 16S ribosomal RNA". It matches the Rfam family "Bacterial small subunit ribosomal RNA", at positions 509 to 807 of the family's 1533-position model. The record is from RNAcentral.
CAGUAGCCGCGGUAAUACAGAGGGUGCGAGCGUUAAUCGGAUUUACUGGGCGUAAAGCGUGCGUAGGCGGCUUCUUAAGUCGGAUGUGAAAUCCCUGAGCUUAACUUAGGAAUUGCAUUCGAUACUGGGAAGCUAGAGUAUGGGAGAGGAUGGUAGAAUUCCAGGUGUAGCGGUGAAAUGCGUAGAGAUCUGGAGGAAUACCGAUGGCGAAGGCAGCCAUCUGGCCUAAUACUGACGCUGAGGUACGAAAGCAUGGGGAGCAAACAGGAUUAGAUACCCUAGUAGUCCCUGUCUCUUAUAC